AUCACUUUGGUGGCUAUCAAAGAAAUAUAAAACAUCGAACAUCAUUUUGAAUAUGAGUGCCUCCGUAUUAUCAUCACUUCGCCCAGAGAUGAAUGGUCGAUGUAAAUCUUCACCAAUGAGAGAAUUGUAGAUUUUCAGCAAACCACGCUGUCUGUUCGAGAGCAAAGAUAUUCCUUCGGAGGUGCUGAAAGUAAAGUUGUACUCUGUAAAGAAGACGUGGGAGCAUCACAGAAGGGCAACUUAGGCACUCUGGAGUUACUAACAACACAAAGAGAAGCAAAGUUGCAAGAAGGAUGGAAGGGAAAGAUUCUGGUCAAGAGGAUACAAUGGAAUGACUGAAUUGUUAUUGGAUACUGUAAAGAUAAGAACUUUGAAAUUAUUCAGUAACAUUAGCAAAAAUGGUGGCUCUUUAUAGGUCUUGUUAUUGUACGAAGUCUUUAGUCUUUCAUGAAGAGUCAUGGAAUGGAUAAAUCUGGUUACCCGGUGAGUGAAUAGUUUUCAAUUAGCCGCCAUUUUUGGAUAGGGAUUGUUUUGCAGACCUUGAGCGAUAGUAUGAUUUACUUGAACUGCUGGCAAUAAUUCGAUGCAAUUUUUCUCUGACGAUCUCAUUUCAUCAAAAUAACCAAAAGUACAUGUAACAUCUGGAAAUUUAUUUAGACCUGGCUACAGAAAGUUGAAACUGAAAUCGCAGAAUUUUUAUGUAGGUACCCAUCGCUCAAUGUUUUUGUCUGCUUAACAGUUUGUACCACAGUUAAACCCCAGUUGAUGUUGCACAAAGGUGAUAUUUGUUAAGGUGGCACUCUAAGAACAGACCUGAAGAAAUUCAAACUAAAUAUUUUUGAAGAGUCAAAUUCGUCUUAAUAGUUACAUUUUUUAUAAAAAUAGAACUGAUGAACAAACUAUACUAUACUACUGACUGGUACGUUGCUCAAUGUUAAACCUUCAUUCCCCUCUUUUCAACGACUGACUGUGAGAAGUAACCUUGUUCACUAACCGUUAAAAAAAGACUCUGCAACAGAUGACAACAACUACCCGCACCUUACAAACGACUUCAAAUCCCUCCGGUAACCAACAGAACAAACCAACUUUAUCAACUGAUCAACUGCAAAUUUAGUUUGACAGUCACUUUUUACCUUACUGCAAAACUGAGUAAUCACUUUUACGAACCAAAGUUGUAAUAUUAAACUUACAAAGACACUACAAUUAACUCGAACGACGACUUUCGCUCAGGCCAGUCAACAGUUUCGACAGAUGUCGGCCAAAAACAUGAUAAUUUCUAACUGGACAUUUAUUCUUGAAAUGAACCGAAUCGGUGAGAACUUUUAAUUUGCUCUAAAAAGAAGCAGUUGAUAACAUUUAAGAAGGAAACAGUGCCAUGUUAUAACUCGUAUCUACUUCUUUGUGCAAUCAGCUGAGGUCGGUUUAGUGUAGAAGUUAUGUUUAAAACUGGAAUGCCAGGUCAAGAGCUUUUCUAAAAACUGAUUAAAUUGAUACUUACUGUUAUAUAAACCAGUUGAAAUUUAUGGGGAAAUAUAGUUUCAUAUUUCGAGUAGAUUUUAUUCGAUGGAAACGGACGAAGGAAAUUUAAUUCGCAAAUCGUUGAAAGCAGUUCACACUAAAAUGGACGCAAAUAUAGGAACCAAAUUUUUGACUAAUACACAAGAAUUGAACUAAUGGUGAGCGGUAAUUGUUAUUAAGGAGCAUGAGGGCCGGGUCGCAUUAAAAUUAAUAAAAUAGUUCCAUUUUUUCUAAAGUCAAUAAUUGGCAAAAAUUUCGCAUUUUCGAAAUUUUGGCGGCGGUCGCAUUAAACUAAUAUUUUUUGAGCAAAAUUUCACGUUAAUUGCAAACCCAUCUCGCUCUAAAAAGUGUUAAUAAAAAAUAUCUUGAGCAAAUCAGUACUACGCAGGAACGGAUUUCUUUUUUGGUGCUGAUCCUUUGAGCUCUUUUGCGUUUUCAUUUCACGCUUGCGCUAUUUUCGCUGGAAGGAGAAGUUCACGUUGAAGCCGUCUGUUUUUUUAAAUCGUUGCCAUCAAAUGGACCAAGGGUACAAGUAAGACAUUCGAAUAAAAACGGUGCUCAAACUCCUCUUUCCUUCGAAAGAAAAAGGGUCAGAUGGAAGAGGAAAAUCAUGCCAUCGAAGUAGAUUAGCCAGGAGUACUUUUCCUUACUGAAAUUUUAUCCAAACACGUCUUGUACAGCAUGACAGCUAAAUAGCUAAAAGAAAAAUAAGACAGGAUUUUUUGCUUUGCCAAAAUUGGAGGCCUCCGAGCCAGGAUCAGGUC
Molecule: long non-coding RNA, 2282 nt
Filed under: Stylophora pistillata
Lineage: Eukaryota; Metazoa; Cnidaria; Anthozoa; Scleractinia; Pocilloporidae
Description: uncharacterized LOC111345605
Source: RNAcentral